Sarcophilus harrisii (Tasmanian devil) is the source of this 3600-nucleotide long non-coding RNA. The record is from Ensembl. NCBI's taxonomy places the organism in Eukaryota, Metazoa, Chordata, Mammalia, Dasyuromorphia, Dasyuridae.
GUUACCAGCUUCCUCUGCAGAGCAGUGAUAGAUGUAUGGACGGGUAGCUGUCCUGCUAGCCAGCUGCAAAAAGCAGUGAGGUACUGGAGUGCUCUGGAAAGAGUUCCCCACCUGGAAGUAACUCAGGCCUGCAGUUGGGAAAGUGCCCUGCAAAGAACCCCACUGUGUGGGAUAAUGACUGCCCUGGGGCUAGACACUGAGCAGUGAGAGUUUCACUAUUCCAAGCCAAAGCCCGUCCUGGGGCUGUGAGUAUUAGCAGCUGAGCAGUGAAUGGCCCUGCAGGGAUUGGAAGUGUCUCUGCCCCAGGAAGCACGAUCUGCUGGGUUAGGGUUCCAGUCCCUGAAAAUCCAUUCACUGCUCAACUGCUAAUACCCACAGCCCCAGGGCAGGAUUUGGCUUGGGAUAAUGAAACUCUCACUGUUCAGUGUCUAGCCCCAGGUCAGUCAUUAUCUCACACAGCAAGGGUACUUUGCAGGGCACUUGUCCAGCUCUGCCCUGCAGGCCUGAAUUACCAUUGGGGAAGUUCUAUUGCCCCAGGCUGAGCCCCGCACUGUGCUGAUUAGAGGCUGCCCAGGCUGUGCCCCCCUGCCGUGUGGGUUUGUAACUGCCCCCGCAAAAGCCUCAAACUGCAGGAUGUAGCUGCAGGGCUGUGUUUCAGUCUCCUGAGUCACUUCCGGGUUUGAGUAGCUACAGCCAGUGUUAGGUUCUGGCAUUUUUUAGAGUAUCCUCUGUUUUAGGCUUUAAUUUCUCUGCCAGUUUACUGCUUUGUAAUCAAGGGAGAGCAGUUAUCCUAUAGCAGAGUGGUCUCUAUAACUUCUCUAGCCACAGAGAUCACCCCCGCCCCUAGUCUGCUCAGGAUGCUAGCUUCUCCCUGCCUGUGCUGGUCUGUUUCUGGCCCCUCAGGACAAACCUUCCCUGGCAAUCUUCCACAUUGACUUCAGCAGGUAAGUUGUAUGCUUUUGAUCUUCAUGAAUUUAAGCAGUGAAGAGCUAUUUCUGAGGCUGGAUAAAAUAUAGUUGGUUAUGAGGGCAAUGAGAGGAGCUUAGACAGUCGUGUAUGCCUUCUCCACCAUCUUGGCUCCACCCCCUUAAGAAAUAGUCCCAUUUUAGAAAAAGAAAUAGAACAAGCUAUUAAUCAACACUCUAAAAAAAUAUCUUCAGGGCCAGGUGGAUUUACAUGUGAAUUCUACCAAACAUUUAAAGAAUGAUUUAACUGUAAUACUAUACAAAUGAGUUGAAAAAAUAGGGAAAGAAGGACUCCUACCAAAUUCCUUUUAUGUCACAGACAUGGUAGUAAUACUUAAACCAGAUGGGAUAAAAACAGAGAAAGAAAAUUAUAGACCAAUUUCCCUAAUGAACAUUGAUGCAAAAAUCUUAAAUAAAAUAUUAGUAAAGAGAUUACAGAAAGUCAUCCCAAACUAGGCUUUAUACAGAAAUGCAGAGCUGGCUCAAUAAUAGGACAAAUCUUAGCGUAAUUGAAUAUAUCAAUAACCAAACUAAGAAAAGCCAUAUGAUUAUCUCAAUAGAAGCAGAAAAAGUAUUUGAAAAAACCCAACAUUCAUUCCUAUUAAAAACAUAAGAGAGUUUAGGAAUAAAUGGACUUUUCCUUAAAAUAGCCAAUAGCAUCUAUUCAAAAUCAUCAGUAAGCAUUAUAUGUAAUGUGGAUUAACUGGAACCAUUCCCAAUAAGAUCACAAGUGAAACUAAGGUUGUCCAUUAUCACUAUUAGCAUUCAAUAUUGUAUUAGAAAUGCUGACUUUGGCAAUAAGAGAAAAAAAAAGAGAUUAAAGGAAUUAGAGUAGUUAAUGAGGAAACCAAAUUAUCACUCUUUGAAGAUGAUAUGAUGGUAUUUAGAGAACCCCAGAGAAUCACUUAAAAAUCUAUUAGAAGUUAUCCACAACUUUAGCAAAGUUGCAGGAUACAAAAUAAAUGCACAUAAAUCAUCAAUAUUUUUAUAUAUCACUAAGAAAAUCCAACAGCAAGAGUUACAAAGAGGAAUUCCAUUUAAAAUAACUGCUAAUAGUAUAAAAUAUUUGGGAAUUUAUCUGCUAAAGGAAAGCAAGGAACUAUAUGAGUAAAACUACAAAACACUUUCGACACAAUUAAAGUCAGAUCUAAACAAGUGCUCUUGGAUAGGUUGAGGGAAUAUAAUAAAGAUGACAAUACUACCUAAACUAAUCUAUUUAUUUAAUGCUAUACCAAUCAAACUCCUGAGAAACUACUUUACUGACCUAGGAAAAAUAACAACAAAAUUCACCUGGAAGAACAAAAGGCCAAGAAUUAUUCAAGAAAUAAUGAAAAAAAUUAAAAUGAAGGUGGCCUAGCUGUACCAGAUCUAAAACUAUAUUAUAAAGCAGCAGUCAUCAAAAGCAUUUAGUACUGCCUAAGGAAGAGAGUACUCAUUCAGUGAAAAAGGGUAGAUUCAUAGGACAAAAUAGUCAAUUACUAUAAUAAUCUAGUGUCUGCCAAACCCAAAGGAACCAGCAUUUGGGGUAAGAAUUCACUAUUUGACAAAAUCUUCUGGGAAAAUUGGAAACUGAUAUGGCAGAAAGUAGGCAUUGACCCAAAUCUAACACCAUAUACCAAGAUAACGUCAAAUGAGUUCACAAUCUAGAUAUAAAAAAUGAUAGUAUAAACAAAUUAGAAGAACAUAGGAUACUCUACCUCUCUGAUCUGUGGAGGAGGAAGGAUUUGAGAUCAAAGAAGAACUGGAGCUGAUUACUGAUCACAAAAUACAUAAUUUUGAUUAUAUUAAGUUAAAAAGUUUUUGUACAAACAAAACUAAUGCAGAGAAGAUUAGAAGGGAAGCAAUAAACUGGGAAAACAUUUUUACAUUCAAAGGCUCUGAUAAAGACCUCAUUUCUAAAAUAUAUAGAGAAUUGACUCAAAUUUAUAGGAACUCAGGGCAUUCUCCAAUUGAGAAAUGGUGAAAGGAUAUGAACAGACAAUUUUCAUAUGAAAAAAUUGAAACCAUUUCUAAUCAUAUGAAAAGGUACACCAAAUCAUUAUUGAUAAGAGAAAUGCAAAUUAAGACAACUCUGAGAUACCACUACAUAUCUCUCAGACUGGCUAAAAUGACAGGAAAAGAUAAUGAUGAAUAUUGGAGUGGAUCUGGGACUCUAAUACAUUUUUGGUGGAACUGUGAACAAAUCUAACCAUUUUGGAGAGCAAUUUGGAACUAUGCUCAAACAGUUAUCAAACUGUGCAUACCCUUUUAUCCAGCACUGGGAUUAUAUCCGAAAGAGACCUUAAAGGAGGAAAAGGGAUCCACAUGUACAAAAAUGUUUGUGGCAGCUAUUUUUGUAAUGGCAAGAAACUGGAAACUGAAUGGAUGUCCGUCAACUGGAGAAUAGCCAGAUAAAUUAUGGUAUAUGAAUGUUAUGAAAUAUUUCUGUUCUGUAAGAAACAACCAGCAGCAUGAUUUCAGAGAGGAGUGGAGGGAGUUACUUGAACUGAUGCUAAGUGAAAUAAGCAGAACCAGGAGAUCAUUAUAUACAACAAGAACAAUUAUGCAAUGAUCAAUGCUGAUGGACAUGGCUCUCUUCAACAAUGAGAUAAUUCCAACCAAUUCCAAUUGUUCAGACAUGAAGAGAAUCAUCUAC